RNAcentral lists this ribosomal RNA (253 nucleotides) under uncultured bacterium. RNAcentral's name for it is "partial 16S ribosomal RNA". It matches the Rfam family "Bacterial small subunit ribosomal RNA", at positions 524 to 776 of the family's 1533-position model. The record is from RNAcentral.
UACGUAGGGUGCAAGCGUUGUCCGGAAUUAUUGGGCGUAAAGAGCUCGUAGGCGGUUUGUCGCGUCGGCUGUGAAAGCCCGGAGCUCAACUCCGGGUCUGCAGUCGAUACGGGCAGACUUGAGUGUUGCAGGGGAGACUGGAAUUCCUGGUGUAGCGGUGGAAUGCGCAGAUAUCAGGAGGAACACCAAUGGCGAAGGCAGAUCUCUGGGCCGUAACUGACGCUGAGGAGCGAAAGCAUGGGGAGCGAACAGG